RNAcentral lists this long non-coding RNA (10986 nucleotides) under Homo sapiens (human). Its description in RNAcentral is "HSALNT0371070". The record is from RNAcentral. Lineage: Eukaryota; Metazoa; Chordata; Mammalia; Primates; Hominidae.
GCUCCUCCUCGAAAGCCUUGAACAGUGAGUUGAAGUUGCCGGCUCCAAAACCCUGUGGCGGGAAAGAGAGGAGAUGAGCCAAGGACCCAGAAAACCGAGUGUGCUAGCUGCCUGUCCCCUCGGGCCUGCCGGGGACAAGCAGUACCUGGUGGUUGUGGCGCUGGAUGACUUCCAGGAAGAGCGUGGGCCGGUCCUGCACCGGUUUGGUGAAGAUCUGCAGGAGGUAGCCUUUCUCGUCGUAGUCCACCAGGAUUUUCAGCUCCUAGGCGGGAGACAGGGGGCUCUGCUAGGGGAGGCUGGCACGGCGCUGGCUCAUUGAUGGGCAUCUUGAUGGACUCUUCAUAGUUGGCCACCACAAUGGAUCGCAGAGAGCUAUAUUCCGUGUGCACCUGCGUGUCAUCCACGGACCAGAAGCGGUGGAACUGCAGGUUUUUCAGGGCUCCCGCAUGAUUUUGGCGCCCCGUUCCCGUGCUUUCUGCAGAGAAGAUGGGAUCGGGGAAUUGGUGAGGGCUGGAGCCUUCCAGAACCCUUGCCUGCUGCUCCUGCCUGGUGGCCUCUGCGUGGUCCUGCAGGCCCCUCCAGUUUCUCCAGCCCCAGGUAGGAACCCCAGCCAGCUUCAGCCAUUACCCCCAAUACUCAUGCUCAUUUGGCAAAUAGGGAAACUGAGGCCCAGGCCCAGAGUUGGGGCUAUGGGAGACAAACUAGGUAGGGAUGGGUGUCUGUCCUGCCUCUGCUAACUCCCCCUGUGAUCAGUCCCCUUCUCUAGUCCUCAAUUUCACCAUCUGUAAAAAGAAUGGUUGGAUGAGAAUAAUAAGAAGAUUCAUGCAUUUAUUUAGCAAAACUGGACUGCAUGACAGUGCUUAUAUCAUGCACCAGGCUCUGUUCUAGAUUCUAACCUCGUUCAUCCUCACAGCAACAUUAUGCAAAAGUACUAUUAUCAUCUCCAUUCUCUAGGUGAGGACGUUGAAGCACAGAGACAUUAAGUCACUUGCCCGAAGUCACACGGCUAAGAUUCAGACCUGGAGAGCCUGGCUCUGGAACGCACACUCUGAAUCUGUAGGCUGCCUGUUGGGUACAGUGUUUGGUUUAGAGUUGUGCUCAAGAAACAGUAAUUCUGAGGCCAGGCAAAAUGGCUCAUGCCUGUAAUCCCAGCACUUUAGGAGGCCGAGGUGGGUGGAUCACUUGAGGUCAGGAGUUCAAGACCAGCCUGGCCAAUAUGGCAAAACUCCAUCUCUACUAAAAUACAAAAAUUAGCUGGGCAUGGUGGCAGGCGCCUGUAAUCCCAGCUACUCGGGAGGCUGAGGCAGGAGAAUCGCUUGAACCCAGGAGGUGGAGGUUGCAGUGAGCCAAGAUUGCGCCACUGCUCUCCAGCCUGGGCAACAGAGCAAGACUCUGACACACACACACACACAAAAGAAAGAAAAAGAAAAUGAAAAAAGAAAAAAAAGGAAAUGACCAGCCUGACCAACAAGGAGAAACCCCAUCUCUACUAAAAAUACAAAACUAGCCGGGCGUGGUGGCGCAUGCCUGUAAUCCUAGCUACUUAGGAGGCUGAGGCAGGAGAAUUGCUUGAAUCCAGGAGGCAGAAGUUGCGGUGAGCCGAGAUCGUGCCAUUGCACUCCAACCUGGGCAACAAGAGCAAAACUCCGUCUCACAAAAAAAAAAAAAAAAAAAAAAGGAAAUGGUAAUUCUAAUUUCCUCCUUUGACAACCCAGCUGUGGUUAGCCCCAUCUGGCAGCUGUGGAAACUGAGGCUCAGUGAGAGAGAGGACACGGGGGAAGGCAGGGCACCCCCGGAGCCCAGGUGUGUGUCACACCAGCAUCUGGGCUUGUCACUGUGAUGCAGCAUCUGGGCUUGUCACUGUGAUGCAGCAUCUGAGCUUGUCACUGUGAUGUGGCAUCUGGGCUUGUCACUGUGAUGCAGCAGUGUCCUUCCAGCCCUGACUGAUGGGGUCCCCAUGGCAGACGGAGGCCUUCCUCUCUCAGUCCACCCAGGUGCUUUCUUACCUGCACGAUGUAGUCACAAUCUUCCACCUCGAACGCAAUGUCCUUCACUCCGUCACCGUGUUUCACCAGGUGAUCGCCCAUCUCUGUGGCCGGCAGGGAGAGGAUGGCACUGGAGUCUGGAGUCUAGGUCCCCUCACCUGGCUUUUAGUCUCCAUCCAGGCCCUGAACCCAGAGCCCACCCACGGAGCCAUGCGUCCACCCUCCCAGAACCCAGAUCCCACCCACAGAGCCAUGCGUCCACCCUCCCCGGGCACCUCACCUUUGUUCCAGGGGUUGAGCGCUGAGGAGAGGACAAACACAAUCUAAGAUAGGAGGAGAAGGAGGUGAGGCUAGUGGCUCAGGGGGGCAUGGGGAGGUGCACCCAUCGGCCCCUCCCUGCCGACCCGAAACACCCCUGAUGGAGCACAAGAACUCCUGGACCUGGGUUCUAGCUCCUUCUCUGCCUUAGUUUCCCACACUGGUCCUGAGGGAUGGGGCUUUCAGCCAGACCCCCUCUGGAUCCUCAGAGGAACUGCUAGGUCAGGUCUCCCUCGGGGAGAGAACUCCAGGGACCCCAUCGGUCAGGGCACUGCUUAAAAUUCCUCUCCUCUGAUAUCCCAGGUUUUCUGAGCACCUGUGGGGUCAGUGUUGGGCCAGGCUGAGGAGGAAACGAAACUAGGAAGGGCCGUGUUGCAUGGCUGUACAAAGAUGCCAGCGGAGGGGUCGGUGGGAGCUGAAUUAUAUGUUUUUGUUGUUGUUGUUGGGGUUUUUUGUUGUUUUUUGUUUUUUUUUGUUGAGAUGGAGUCUUGCUCUGUCGCCCAGGCUGGAGUGCAGUGGCACGACGUUGGCUCACUGCAACCUCUGCCUCCCGGGUUCAAGCGAUGUGCCUGCCUCAGCCUCCUGAGUAGCUGGGAUUACAGGUGCCCACCAUCAUGCCCAGCUAAUUUUUCUAUUUUUAAUAGAGAUGGGGUUUCACCAUGUUGGCCAGGCAGGGGUUGGGGGCUGUCCUGGGGGUGGUGACUCACCUUCCCUUGUUUGAUUACAUGGCUGACCACCUCCCGGGAACCGGUCUCCAGGCCCCUGUAGGCUAGAGGUUCAAAGCCCAUCUUGCUGCAGUAGAAUGACGUGGCCUGAAUCACAGGGUUGCAGCAGGGUUCAUGAGGGUCAAGGGGCCAGCAUGGGGGACUUCCGCAAGAGAGCCCCUGGCCCCCCUCAGCCUGCCUGCCCUAUUGCCUCAGGGGCAGAGACCCUCCUGGGAAGAUAGACUGCUGCCUGCACAUUUUGCUGACAGAUAACUUUCCCGCUGGUGUAAUUAGGAUUCAGAGUAUCUGGCCCACCCCUGGCCUGAUCCUCCCUCCCAAGGGCCAAUCACAGACCCUGCUGGAGGCCUGCCCUUGUCAGGCAGCCCUCUGCCCUGCCGUCUGCUCACUCCAGCACCUUGCCCCGGCUUCUACCUGCUUGGCGUUGCCAACCCAGAAGGUCACAGAGUGGAAGUGGAGGAAUCGGCCUCUCUCAGGCUGCAGAAGGAGAGAAGAGGUGAGGUUGAGUCCCUGAAAGUGAGUCUAGAAAAGUGCGGGUGGAGUGAUGUCCCCUAGCCACCCUCCUUAUUCCAGCCUCAACCACAGAACUUAGGAGCAGCGGAACCCCAUGCAGCCUUGCCAAGCCUCAAAAGAGGUUUCUCAUGUGGAAGUUGAGCUCCUGGGUGUCUUGGAUGGGGAAACCCCCUCAGGAGGCCUGCCAAGGUUUCACACAGGGAAAUAGACUUAUGUUGCAGCAAUAUGGAUUUAAGUUAGACCUUAGAAAGAACUUCCAGAUGGGAUUAAAAGAUUGGCAGGCAUUUGAGAAGGGGUACAGGUUUUGUUUUGGUUUUUGUUUCUGAGAUGGAGUUUUGCUCUAUUGCCCAGGCUGGAGUGGAGUGCAGUGGUGCAAUCUUGGCUCACUGCAACUUCCGCCUCCCAGGUUCAAGCGAUCCUAGGGUUCAAGUGAUCUCCCCCACCUUAGCCUCCUGAGUAGCUGGGAUUACAGGGGUGCGCUACCAUGCCCGGCUAAUUUUCGUAUUUUUAGUAGAGACGGGGUUUCCUCAUGUUGACCAGGCUGGUCUCGAACUCCUGACCUCAAGUAUUUGCCUGCCUUGGCCUCCCAAAGCACUGGGAUUACAGGCAUGAGCCACCAUGCCCGGCCAGGAUACAAGUUUGUUGUGAGGGUGAGGUUGAGUCCAGCUCAGUCUCGGGGAGCCCCGGGGGUAAAGCUGAGUGUGCAGGCAUGCACGUCAUGUAUCCACUCCAGUCCUUCCUCUUCUGCUCUCUGCUGAAACCCCAGUCUCCCUGCACUCCGACCCCCUUCUAGACUCAGGCCCCUACAUUUCCCACAUUUCGCCUGCUUACCUUUGCCCCUUUGUCACUGUAAGUCGUCUAAGGAGAAAAAGAAGGACAGUGAGACUUGGAGGUUCCAACACAAGGUGCUUCUGGAAGCGUUACUGAAGAUGUCCCACCCAAGGGGAGAUGGCCAUGGCACUUACCAUGAUUGAUCUUAGUCAAACCUCCUACUGGGACUAGAGGCCUGGGGAGUGCUGGGCCGGAGUAUUUAACCCCAAGCAGGUCCCGCCCAGGCCUCCUGGCCUACCUGGGGGAUGGGGUGGGGAGCUGAGCCCAGCCCUGGAAGGUUCCAGGCCUGGGGACCUCUGAUCCAGCCGCAGCCUCAUUGAACAGGAUGGUGUUGCCAGGCCCAGAGAGGGGCAGUGACGUCCACUAGUCAGUGGGAGGCAGAGUCAGGGCCAGAAGCCAAGGGCAAGCUUUUCCAGGACGCUGGGAAUGUGACCAUUACUGCCCAGAAUCCAAAGCUCAGAAGCCAAGGCCGGCUGGAGUGCAGUGGCGGCUCCAGAACUCUUGCCUAGAGGAAAUUUGAGGGGGCAUUUGGAGACUGGCCCCAAAGUCCUGUUUGCGUCACAGCGUUGUAUUCCAUAGCUCUGAGAGGCACGGCAGGAGAAGGUUUGCAUCCUGGCUCUGUUACAUACAGUGUGACUUGGGAAAAUCACCAUAUCCCUUUGAGCCUCAUUUGUAAAACAGGAAUGAGAAUAGUGUGGUGGGGAUUAAAGGAGAUAAGCACGCUCUUUGGAACAGGACCUGGCACACAGGACACUCUCAGUGUUGGUUAUAAUUCAUUGGGACAGAGAACAUUCCUAGGCCAUGAGGUCAGCAAGCGGCAGGGAAGAACUGGAACAUGAACCGGGCUAUUCUAACUCCAGGACCCACACUUUAAAUUGCUAGAUUGCCCUCUAUACAAAUGGGAGAUAUUGAUAUCCCCAUCAGAUGGGGAAACUGAGGCCUGGAGAGGUGAACACAUGUCUCCCAGGUCAUGGAACUGGUAAGAGCAGAGCCCCAAACUCUGGCCUGUUUGAUUCUGAAGUUGGAUCUCAUUGCACCAGUGCAGACCACUUCUCCCUCCUUUUCUCUAUUUUCUGGGCCAUUCAGGAGGCAGGCAAGGUGGUCCCACCCCCUUAUUCUGCCUGUCCUGGGCCUGCCCAGUGUGCUCCCAGUGUCCACCUCAGCUCCUUAAGUCUAAAUUUCCAACUGGGGGCCGGGGGUGGUGGCUCACGCCUGUAAUCCCAGCACUUUGGGAGGCCAAGGAGGGAGGAUCACUUGAGGCCAGGAGUUUGAGACCAGCCUGGCAACAUGGUAAAACCUCAUCUCUACUAAAAAUACAAACAUUAGCUGGGCACGGUGGUGCACGUCUGUAGUCCCAGCUACUCAGGGGACUGAGGCAGGAGGAUCACUUGAACCAAGGAGGCAGAGAUUGCAGUGAGCAGUGAUCAUGCCACUGCCCUCCAGCCUGGGUGACAGAGUGAGACUCCAUCUCAAAUAAAUAAAUAAAUAUCCAACUGGGAAAACUUGAGUGGAGGUGGCCCAGGGUGGAUCUCACAGGCCCAGAAGGUUCCCAUGGAGGAGAAGAGCUCUGUGUAGCCUGCCUAUCCCCUCCAGGCCAGCAGGAACAUCUUGUCACUUUGAUUGCUGUGGCCAACUCAAACCCCCACUCCUGGAGCCUGCCCUGGCUUAUAUGCUAAGCACAAAGGCCAAUGUUUACUAACUCAAGGAAGUGUGUCAACAGCAGUGGGUUGCAAAGGCUGGCAGGCAUCUAGAGGUAGGAACUCUGUCCCCAACACUGUAGGUCUCAGUCCCAUGCUGGGUGCACCCCUAGAUGCCAUUCACAUGUCUGGGCAGAGAGCAGGGAGGCAAGCCUGCAGGGCCCAGUAUCCAGAGUCCCCUCCCUGAUGCUCUCUGUUCAGGCUGGGCUCCACUGGAUAACAGAUCAGCAGUGGCUGGGUGUGACUGUCUCUGUUCUUCAUGCCCGACCAUGCAGAGGUGGGUUCCAGAGGCCUUGCUCAAGAAGCUCACUGAUCAGAUGGGUUCAUAGGACGCAUCCUUGAAAAUACCCUGGUGUGCAGAAAAGCAUUCACCUAGCUGGGCCUGGUAGUGAGCACCUGUAGUCCCCAGCCACUCAGGAGGCUGAGGUGGGAGGAUCACUUGAGUCCAGGAGUUAAAGGUUGCAGUGAGCUAUGAUCACGCCACUGCACUCUAGCCUGGGGAACAGGGUGAGAACUUGUAUCAAAAAUAGAUAAGGCAGGGCCCAGUGGCUCACACCUGUAAUCCUAGCACUUUGGGAGGCCGAGGAGGGAGGAUCACUUGAGGUUAGGUGUUCGAGACCAGCCUGGCCAACAUGGUGAAACCCUAUCUCUACUAAAAAUACAAAAAUUAGCCUGGAUGCAGUGGCUCAUGCCUAUAAUCCUAGCACUUUAGGAGGCUGAGGCGGGUGGGUCACCUGAGGUCAGGAGUUUGAGACCAGCCUGACCAAUAUGGUGAAACACCGUCUCUACUAAAAAUACAAAAAUUAGCUGGGCAUGGUGGCAGGCACCUGUAGUCCCAUCUACUUGGGAGGCUGAGACAGGAGAAUUGCUUGAACCCAGGAGGUGGAGGUUGCAGUGAGCCGAGAUCAUGCCACUGCACUCCAGCCUGAGCAACAGAGUAAGACUCUGUCUCAAAAAAAAAAAAAAAAUUAGCUGGGUGUGGUGGUGUGUGCCUGUAAUCCCACCCAGCUACUUGGGAGGCUGAGGCAGGAGAAUCACUUGAACCCAGGAGGUGGAGGUUGCAAUGCGAGAUUGUGCCACUGCGCUCCAGCCUGGGCGACAGAAUGAGACCCUGUCUCAAAAUAAAGAAAUAAGUAAGUAAGUAAGUAAAUAAAAUGGAACAAGUCUCAGUUACUGAUAGUUCUUACUAUAGUGUUUGCUAAUAUUACAGCUUCUGGAAAAAAACAUGAAAAAGAGGCAAUCUCUAAAUGGAGAUACACUUUCAGGGUUUUAAAAAGCAGUUUUUAGUUGCUAAUGAGCCCUUGUGAAACCACACAGCUGACCCUUAGAGUCAUGAUUUUCUAGCUGAUAGGGAUCUUUUUACAGGCGUCCACCCGGGCUCUGAAACUGACAGACUUAAAGGGCUUAAGAAAGCCUCGCUUCGCUCUUAGCCUCGAGACAAACAGUCUCUUGGCUUAGCUACUGCAGAAGAAAAUCCUGAAUUCACGAAUUCUAGUUUUCCAAACCUGAUCCCAAGCUGAAAGCUCUGCAAGGGGACGGUUGCUUGAGCCCAAGAGGUCGAGGCUGCAAUGAGCUAUGAUCGCACCACUGCACUCCAGCCUCGGUGACAGAGUGAGACCCUGUCUUAAAAAAAGAGAAAAAAAAAUGCUGAAACCUGAUGCUGUCUGCUGUGAGCUGUUUCAGUGUCAGCAUGAAUUCUGCCAAACUAAAAAAAUGGGCAAAAUUGCUCCACUCAACACACAGGACUUUAACUCUAGGACCCUGGCAGAUUAGAGACAUCCCUCCCUGGGGCCAUAUGCUGUGCAAACAUCGUGGAUGCUGCUGGACAGUGUGGGUCACUUACAGAUGUCCAUGAUGAAAGAGUUCCUCUCUAAUGGGACCAUUUACAUUGGGCUGCUCUUCAGCUCUGCAUUUCUUUUUUUUUUUUUUUUGAGACGGAGUCUCGCUCUUGCUGCCCAGGCUGGAGUGCAAUGGUGCGAUCUCGGCUUAUUACAACCUCCGCCUCCCAGGUUCAAUCGAUUCUCCUGUCUCAGCAUCCCAAGUAGCAGGGAUUACAGGCAUGUGCCACCACGCCCAGCUAAUUUUGUAUUUUUAGUAGAGAUGGGGUUUCACCAUGUUGGUCAGGCAUGUCUCGAACUCCUGACCUCAGGUGAUCUGCCCACCUCGGCCUCCCAAAGUGCUGGGAUUACAGGCGUGAGCCACCGCUCUCGGCCUUUUUUUUUUUUUUUUUUUUUUUUUUUUUGAGACAGAGUCUCCCUCUGUGGCCCAGGCUGGAGUGCAGUGGCGUGAUCUUGGCAUCUCGGCUCAAUGCAAGCUUUUUUUUUUUUUUUUUUUUUUUUUAGGCUGGAGUGCAAUGGUGCAAUCUCGGCUCACUGCAAGCUCCACCUCCAAGGUUCACGCCAUUCUCCUGCCUCAGCCUCCGGAGUAGCUGGGAAUACAGGCACCUGCCACCUGGCUCAGCUAAUGUUUUGUAUUUUUAGUAGAGAUGAGGUUUCACCGUGUUAGCCAGGAUGGUCUCAAUCUCCUGACCUCGUGAUUCGCUCGCCUUGGCCUCCCAAAGUGCCGGGAUUAUAGGCGUGAGCCACCGCGCCCGGCACCCCCCCUCCUUUUUUUUUUUUUAAGAUGGUCUUGGGAUGUCUCCCAAGCUGAAGUGCAAUGGCGUGAUCUCUGCUCACUGCAACCUCCGCCUCCUAGGUUCAAGUGAUUCUCCCGCCUCAGUCUCCCAAGUAGUUAAGACUACAGGCAUGCGCCACCACACCAAGCUAAUUUUUGUAUUUUUUAUCAGAGACAGGGCUUCGCCAUGUUGGCGAGGCUGAUCUCGAACUCUUGGCCUCAGGUGAUCUUCCCGCCUCGGCCUCCCAAAGUGCUGGGAUUACAGGCGUGAGCCACUGCGCCCAGCCAGCUCUGCAUUUCUGGUGCUGAUUCCUUCCUAACUUGUGAUUCCUGCCCAAAGCAACAAGCCGAGAGAGGGUACAUCACAGGGACCGUGAUCCUUCCACGCACUCCUUCAGACUGGACUCUCAAAACUCCCCACCAAAUGUUUCACUGCAGUUGAUCGUUGUGUCUGACUUUCUCAAUUCGUUGCAAUUUGCAACAAUGGACUAAUAGCCUGAUUCUCCUUCCCGCAUCUUUGUCCUGACGUACUCACCUUAGUAAGGCUGUCUGUUAAAUGCAACUGUCCCUCAAAAGGCAUUAUUUCUUCUAUGCUGCUCACUACAGAAAUGAUCAGAAUGAAAAGCAUUGGUGGCGAGCCAGGAGCAGUGGCUGACACCUGUAAUCCCAGCACUUUAAGAGGCUGAGAUGGGGGGAUCCCUUGAGCCCAGGAGUUCAAGGGUACAGUGAGCUAUAAUUGCACCACUGCACUUCAGCCUGGGCAGCAGAAUGAGACCCUGUCUCUAAAAGAAAAAAAAAAAGAAAGAAAAGGGUGGAGAGUUAUAUAAGCCCAUUUUGGAAAUUUGUGAAAAUCCAGGAUUUUGCCCCUUCCACUUCCUGAACCUGAAAUGAAGCUUUCUGGUUAAGUUGUAUAAAAAUGUUUUUCUGUGAAAAGGUUUUUGUCCCUCUUGGCUGGGCACGGUGGCUCAUGCCUGUAAUCCCAGCACUUUGGGAGGCCAAGGCAGGCAGAUCAUUUGAGGUCAGGAAUUUGAGACCAGCCUGGCCAACAUAGCGAAACCCUGUUUCUACUAAAAAUACAAAAAAAAAAAAAAAAAAAAAAAUUAGCUGGGCAUGGUGGUACACACCUGUAAUCCUAGCUACUCAGGAGGCUGAGGCAGGAGAAUCACUUGAACCCGGGAGGCAGGGUUCAUUGAGCUGAGAUCGUGCCACUGCACUCCAGCCUGGCGACAGAGCAAGACUCUGUCACACAAAAAAAAGAAAAAAUAUCUUAUUAAAGCCAGGUACAGUGGCUCAUACCUGUAAUCCCAGCACUUUGGGAGGCGGAGGCAGGAGGAUCACUUGAGGCCAGGGGUUCAAGACCAACCUGGGCAACCUAGUGAGACCCUGUCUCUACAAAAAGUUUAAAAAGUAGCCGGCUAUAGUGGUGCAUGCCCGUAGUCCCAGCUACUCAGGAGGCUAAGUGGGGAAGAUCUCUUGAGCCCAGGAGCUUAAGACUGAAGUGAGCUAUGAUUGUACCAUUGUACUCCAGCCUGGGCAACAGAGGGAGGCCCUGACUAUUAAAAAAAAAAAAAAAAUGGCCGGGCGCAGUGGCUCACGUCUGUAAUCCCAGCACUUUGGGAGGCCAAGGCAGACGGAUCACGAGGUCAGGAGAUCGAGACCAUCCUGGCUAACAUGGUGAAACCCCGUCUCUACUAAAAAUACAAAAAAUUAGCCAGGCAUGGUGGCAGGCGCCUGUAGUCCCAGCUACUUGGGAGGCUGAGGCAGGAGAAUGGAGUGAACCCGGGGCGCGGAGCUUGCAGUGAGCCAGGAUUGCACCACUGCACUCCAGCCUGGGCGACAGAGUGAGACUCCGUCUCAAAAACAACAACAACAACAACAACAACAACAAAAAACUCCUGUUAUAGACAAUACCCACAUUAAUUCCCAUCCUCAAUUUUAAGGCUAUUAUCACUUCCACUGGUUCAUCUUAGGGUAGAAAAUAUUAUAAACGUCUGGGCAUAUUGGCUCACGCCUGUAAUCCCAGCACUUUGGGAGGCUGAGGUGGGUGGAUCACUUGAGGUCAGGAGUUCGAGACCAGCCUAGUCAACAUGGUGAAACCCCGUCUCUACUAAAAAUACAAAAAUUAGCUGGGCAUGAUGGCGGGCACCCGUAGUUUCGGCUACUCGGGAGGGUGAGGCAGGAGAAUCGCUUGAACCUGGGAGUCGGAGGCUGCAGUGAGCUGAGAUCAUGCCAGUGCACUCUAACCUGGGCGACACAGCGACACUCUCUUUCUUUCUUUCUUUCUUUCUUUGAGACAGAGUUUCGCUU